Molecule: unclassified non-coding RNA, 352 nt
Filed under: soil metagenome
Description: partial contains 5.8S ribosomal RNA, internal transcribed spacer 2, and large subunit ribosomal RNA
Rfam family: 5.8S ribosomal RNA (bases 1-120)
Source: RNAcentral
GAUGAAGAACGUAGCGAAAUGCGAUAAGUAGUGUGAAUUGCAGAUUUCAGUGAAUCAUCGAAUCUUUGAACGCACAUUGCGCCCGCCAGUAUUCUGGCGGGCAUGCCUGUUCGAGCGUCAUUACAACCCUCAGGCCCCCGGGCCUGGCGUUGGGGAUCGGCGGAGCCCCCCGUGGGCACACGCCGUCCCCCAAAUACAGUGGCGGUCCCGCCGCAGCUUCCAUCGCGUAGUAGCUAACACCUCGCGACUGGAGAGCGGCGCGGCCACGCCGUAAAACACCCAACUCUUCUGAAGUUGACCUCGAAUCAGGUAGGAAUACCCGCUGAACUUAAGCAUAUCAAUAAGCGGAGGA